AGCCGCUGACGCGCCCUGUUGACGCGGCUCUUGAUCGUUCC
This 41-nucleotide small RNA is filed under the name Sinorhizobium meliloti 2011. Its description in RNAcentral is "putative ncRNA". Lineage: Bacteria; Pseudomonadati; Pseudomonadota; Alphaproteobacteria; Hyphomicrobiales; Rhizobiaceae. The record is from RNAcentral.